AACUAUCUUUUCCCUGAAAAAGUUACCUUUAUUGUUGGUAUCUGGCGAUUUUAAAACAAGAAUCGGGAAUCAGUGUCCAUCUUCCUCACUGAAAAGCUCAUUCAGAUCUGACUGUGCUGACAACCACCACUCACUUAGUUGUAUGAGUUUUCACAGGGUCAGCUGUCCAAUGGCCCACCAUCACAAAUAAUUUUGCUUCCAGAAAUUUGCUUCUUGUCACAGUCACAUCAGGUGAAGAGAAAAAUGAGCUAACGGUCUGCAGUUAGGGGUUGUUCGAGUGGCAGAGGGUUCAGUUCCUCUAGAACAAUGACUCUCAUUUGACGUUGGGUGAUUGUGAGGUAAAAUACUGUCUGUACCUGAAUGGAGCCUUUGUCUAUAACUGAGGGGAAAUAGAGCAUCUGUGCUGGGAAGAAGAAAAUGGAACUUCAAGGUUCUGAGGGAAUGUACCAUUUUGCAAAUAUGCUGAUAGACUUUGAAGAUUAUUUGUCUUUUGAAAAAAGAAUUCCAUACACACACACACAUACACAGAGUACACACAGUACCUGGCACCACAUAUUAUCCAACACCGUGGUCAUGGGAAAUAAUGCAACAUUCCAGACUGAAAGGAAGACAGUCACUCUAAAUGCCACUCCAAAAAUUAAAGAUGCUGAAGAGUUGAGGGCAUAGAAGGAACACUUAAAUCCUCAUUACCCUGGAGAUCUUUACCAAAACUUGGGAUAUCCCUCCACAAUCAAACAAGUAAGGGGUCAUCGUUAUGAAUUUAAAUGAAACUCAGGAACUGUGGGAUGGAGAAUUUUAUGUUCCUUUAUUGUUUUAAUAAAGAAAAGGAUCAUUUUC
RNAcentral lists this long non-coding RNA (837 nucleotides) under Monodelphis domestica (gray short-tailed opossum). RNAcentral's name for it is "lncRNA (ENSMODG00000051608.1)". The record is from RNAcentral. Lineage: Eukaryota; Metazoa; Chordata; Mammalia; Didelphimorphia; Didelphidae.